CAUUUCCCCUUAUUCUUUUCUCCUCCCUCUCUCUUCACACUCUCUCUUCUCUCUACCCCUCUCCGUCCACCGCCCACCUUCGCUGGCCGGAAAUCGCCACCACCGGUCGGACGCCAUCCAAACACCACAAAUUUUGCAUCACCGUGCUCUCCUCACUCUCCUCUUACCUAUUCUACACCCCAAAACCUUCAAAACCCUCUCCAAAUCCGUAGAUGUAGCCUAGAACGAAACCCUAGACGCCGCUCACCAUCCCCAAACUCCAAAUUUUUUACACCCCGCUCUCCUCUUACUCUCCUCUACCUGAUUUCAUGACACAACAUCACCAAUCUCACCCCCAAAAAGCCGCACCACCACCGUCCAGCCACCCCCACUGCCGCGACCACCACAGCCCCACCACUAAACCUCUAUUUUAGCCUAAUUCCGAGCCAAGAACACUCGUUUCCUUUUGGUAUAACACGGAGCUCAUUGAAUUUGGUGUCUACCGAAAUGAAAUAAGAGUUCCAUCGUCGGCCAGCCGCUACUCGAGGUUCACGACAUCGUCUCUUUGCUCUAAUAAAUGUCAAAUUCCUUUGUUGGAUUCUUGAUGAAAAUAAAAAGGAUUUGACCUUGGUUUGGCUGUUGAAACAUGUUAGAUCUGAUUUCGUUUCAAGAUGAAUGUCAUAUUAGUGUUAUUAUUAUGUAAAUCUGUUAGAAGUUAGCUAAAUUGUCAGUUCUUCUUUACAUAUGUGGUUGAAACUCUAUUCUGCUAAGUCUAUCUCGAACUGGGUAGUGUAAAUUUUUCUUCGCAUUUUUACUUUAGUAAUUAAAGUUCAUUUGUUAGUUCAUGUUU
This is a long non-coding RNA of Nicotiana tabacum (common tobacco), 829 nucleotides long. RefSeq lists it as uncharacterized. The record is from RefSeq and is a predicted model, not a curated record. NCBI's taxonomy places the organism in Eukaryota, Viridiplantae, Streptophyta, Magnoliopsida, Solanales, Solanaceae.